GAGGAAUAUUGGUCAAUGGGCGAGAGCCUGAACCAGCCAAGUCGCGUGAAGGAAGACUGCCCUAUGGGUUGUAAACUUCUUUUGUAAGGGAAUAAAAAGGGUUACGUGUAGCUCCUUGUAGGUACCUUACGAAUAAGGAUCGGCUAACUCCGUGCCAGCAGCCGCGGUAAUACGGAGGAUCCAAGCGUUAUCCGGAUUUAUUGGGUUUAAAGGGUGCGUAGGCGGGAUUUUAAGUCAGUGGUGAAAGUUUGCAGCUUAACUGUAAAAUUGCCAUUGAAACUGAAGUUCUUGAGUACAAAUGAGGUAGGCGGAAUGUGUUGUGUAGCGGUGAAAUGCAUAGAUAUAACACAGAACACCAAUUGCGAAGGCAGCUUACUGGGAUGUAACUGACGCUGAGGCACGAAAGCGUGGGGAUCAAAC
RNAcentral lists this ribosomal RNA (420 nucleotides) under uncultured bacterium. RNAcentral describes it as "bacterial SSU rRNA". It matches the Rfam family "Bacterial small subunit ribosomal RNA", at positions 356 to 773 of the family's 1533-position model. The record is from RNAcentral.